RNAcentral lists this ribosomal RNA (254 nucleotides) under uncultured bacterium. RNAcentral describes it as "partial 16S ribosomal RNA". It matches the Rfam family "Bacterial small subunit ribosomal RNA", at positions 524 to 776 of the family's 1533-position model. The record is from RNAcentral.
UACAGAGGUCCCGAAGCGUUGUUCGGAUUCAUUGGGCGUAAAGGGUGCGUAGGUGGCGCUGUAAGUCGGGUGUGAAAUUUCGGAGCUUAACUCCGAAACUGCAUUCGAUACUGCGGUGCUUGAGGACUGGAGAGGAGACUGGAAUUCAUGGUGUAGCAGUGAAAUGCGUAGAGAUCAUGAGGAAGACCAGUGGCGAAGGCGGGUCUCUGGACAGUUCCUGACACUGAGGCACGAAGGCCAGGGGAGCAAACGGG